GUCCACGCCCUAAACGAUGUCAACUAGGUGUUGGGAGGGUAAACCUUUUAGUACAGGAGCUAACGCGUGAAGUUGACCGCCUGGGGAGUACGGCCGCAAGGUUAAAACUCAAAGGAAUUGACGGGGACCCGAACAAGCGGUGGAUGAUGUGGAUUAAUUCGAUGCAACGCGAAAACCUUACCUACCCUUGACAUGUCCGGAAGCCCUUAGAGAUUUGGGUGUGCUCGAAAGAGAGCCGGAACACAGGUGCUGCAUGGCUGUCGU
Molecule: ribosomal RNA, 264 nt
Filed under: uncultured bacterium
Lineage: Bacteria
Description: partial 16S ribosomal RNA
Rfam family: Bacterial small subunit ribosomal RNA
Source: RNAcentral